CUACGCGAUGCUCGUCAUCGUAGGGUUAGUCGGGUCCUAAGUCGAGUCCGAAAGGGGUAGACGAUGGCAAAUUGGUUAAUAUUCCAAUACCAACAUUAGUGUGCGAUGGAAGGACGCUUAGGGCUAAGGGGGCUAGCGGAUGGAAGUGCUAGUCUAAGGUCGUAGGAGGUUAUAUAGGCAAAUCCGUAUAACAAUACUCCGAGAACUGAAAGGCUUUUUGAAGUCUUCGGAUGGAUAGAAGAACCCCUGAUGCCGUCGAGCCAAGAAAAGUUUCUAAGUUUAGCUAAUGUUGCCCGUACCGUAAACCGACACAGGUGGGUGGGAUGAGUAUUCUAAGGCGCGUGGAAGAACUCUCUUUAAGGAACUCUGCAAAAUAGCACCGUAUCUUCGGUAUAAGGUGUGGUUAGCUUUGUAUUAGGAUUUACUCCGAAAGCAAGGAAACUUACAACAAAGAGUCCCUCCCGACUGUUUACCAAAAACACAGCACUCUGCUAACUCGUAAGAGGAUGUAUAGGGUGUGACGCCUGCCCGGUGCUCGAAGGUUAAUUGAUGGGGUUAGCAUUAGCGAAGCUCUUGAUCGAAGCCCGAGUAAACGGCGGCCGUAACUAUAACGGUCCUAAGGUAGCGAAAUUCCUUGUCGGUUAAAUACCGACCUGCAUGAAUGGCGUAACGAGAUGGGAGCUGUCUCAAAGAGGGAUCCAGUGAAAUUGUAGUGGAGGUGAAAAUUCCUCCUACCCGCGGCAAGACGGAAAGACCCCGUGGACCUUUACUACAGCUUGACACUGCUACUUGGAUAAGAAUGUGCAGGAUAGGUGGGAGGCUUUGAGUAUAUGACGCCAGUUGUAUAUGAGCCAUUGUUGAGAUACCACUCUUUCUUAUUUGGGUAGCUAACCAGCUUGAGUUAUCCUCAAGUGGGACAAUGUCUGGUGGGUAGUUUGACUGGGGCGGUCGCCUCCCAAAUAAUAACGGAGGCUUACAAAGGUUGGCUCAGAACGGUUGGAAAUCGUUCGUAGAGUAUAAAGGUAUAAGCCAGCUUAACUGCAAGACAUACAAGUCAAGCAGAGACGAAAGUCGGUCUUAGUGAUCCGGUGGUUCUGUGUGGAAGGGCCAUCGCUCAAAGGAUAAAAGGUACCCCGGGGAUAACAGGCUGAUCUCCCCCAAGAGCUCACAUCGACGGGGAGGUUUGGCACCUCGAUGUCGGCUCAUCGCAUCCUGGGGCUGGAGCAGGUCCCAAGGGUAUGGCUGUUCGCCAUUUAAAGCGGUACGCGAGCUGGGUUCAGAACGUCGUGAGACAGUUCGGUCCCUAUCUGCCGUGGGCGUAAGAAGAUUGAAGAGAUUUGACCCUAGUACGAGAGGACCGGGUUGAACAAACCACUGGUGUAGCUGUUGUUCUGCCAAGAGCAUCGCAGCGUAGCUAAGUUUGGAAAGGAUAAACGCUGAAAGCAUCUAAGCGUGAAGCCAACUCUAAGAUGAAUCUUCUCUAAGCUCUCUAGAAGACUACUAGUUUGAUAGGCUGGGUGUGUAAUGGAUGAAAGUCCUUUAGCUGACCAGUACUAAUAGAGCGUUUGGCUUAUCUUU
Molecule: ribosomal RNA, 1578 nt
Filed under: Campylobacter jejuni
Lineage: Bacteria; Pseudomonadati; Campylobacterota; Epsilonproteobacteria; Campylobacterales; Campylobacteraceae
Description: partial 23S ribosomal RNA
Rfam family: Bacterial large subunit ribosomal RNA
Source: RNAcentral